CCUCUUCCAUGUCGGAUCAAGAUUUUGUUUUGAAUUGAUUUUUUUUUUUAAAAGUGCUAAGCAGAUGCUACCCUGUAAGAAGAGGAAACAGAAGCAAAAACUGAAAGACUGUUACUAAAACCAAUGAACAGCUGCAGAGAGUGGAGACCCAGCAAAGCAGACAAAUGAAUACUGUGAAUAAAUAACCUGAAAGCAAAUGGGGAAGAAAACCUCCUCUGGGUAAUUGUGGCUCUUGGGACCAAAAUCAGGUUCCUGGGAAAGGAUCCCCAAAGGAGAUGUAAGGAUCCGGGACUCUAGUGUCUGCCAGAAGCUUCAGCCACCUUCACAGGUUAGAGCUCGCCCUCCAUUGCGGAGGUGAAGACCGGAUGGGAG
Molecule: long non-coding RNA, 372 nt
Organism: Mauremys reevesii (Reeves's turtle)
Lineage: Eukaryota; Metazoa; Chordata; Testudines; Geoemydidae
Exons: 3
Source: RefSeq, a predicted model, not a curated record